RNA transcript from Macadamia integrifolia, 916 nucleotides. RefSeq lists it as uncharacterized. The record is from RefSeq and is a predicted model, not a curated record. The transcript is spliced from 6 exons. NCBI's taxonomy places the organism in Eukaryota, Viridiplantae, Streptophyta, Magnoliopsida, Proteales, Proteaceae.
CUUAAACUCCCCAGUCCCAACGGAUUUGCUGAGAAAAUAUUGUCGCAUUCACUAGUCUUGUUUCCAAGCACUCAACUUUGAAGCUUUCUAGAAUCCCGCGGGAAAUGGAAGAAAGCCCAAACGUUUCUUCGAUGAAUACGGAGAAUCCAGACCCAGAAACCGAACGUGAUCAAUAUGAAUCUUCUCCUCAAAUCUGUUCUGAAGCUCAGGAAGAUCGCUGUGGAUCGAAGCCCUCACUUGAUCCAAUGGGGAUGAUGAGAGCUAUCGAAGUUGUCGAGAGGGAUUCGAUGGACAUUGCCGAAAGCUUCACUGCACUUUUCUGUUCUCUCCGUUUGGCUCUAUCUGAGGUCACUAGCAGUUCAGUUGAUCACAUGCGUUGCUUUAGUGAGGCUGCUGGGCGCCUGCAAGAAUCUGUACUUGAUGCAGCAACUAAGGGGAACCGUUACAUUAAUUCAUGUCUCAGUUAGAGAAGAGUUGGGAUAGCGUACGUUGUAUGGUUUCAAAGCUCUCGGAAUCAGGAUUAAGUUAAAUGAGGAAAUGAAGGGCAUUGAAAAUCUAGCUAUGCAGUUAAAGAUGCUGAAGAGAAACGUAGAUGUUAUGGACUCAGCUGUGAAUAAGCUCGUCCGUUUUCCAUGAUUUUGGAUCACACUGCCAUGUUUGAGCCAAAUCAAGUAUAUCUGAAAGGCAAAGUUCCUUUGUAAAGAGCUAUUUUCACAAUCACCAAACUUUGGCAAUUCCCAGACCUAGUCAUUUUGGGUUUGCCAUUUGAUGUUUGUUGUUGGAAUGUGUAUAUUGUUUCAUUCGCAAGAUACUUUCUUUUAAUUUUAUUUUCUUCAUCUUUGCAACUUUUAUUUGGAGUUCAAUUUUAUGCCUUGCACUUGUUUGAAGGUAUAUAGAAAGAAGCAAUCUAGGCUUA